This 70-nucleotide non-coding RNA is filed under the name Escherichia coli 53638. The record is from RNAcentral. Lineage: Bacteria; Pseudomonadati; Pseudomonadota; Gammaproteobacteria; Enterobacterales; Enterobacteriaceae.
AGGAACCUCCUCAAAGGAUUCUAUGGGCAGUCGAUGCAGGAAGCCAGGAACUCCCUGCAUCGGCGAUUUU